CCAGGUUCUUUCCACUACGCGCCUCCAGCGAGGCGCGUAGUGGAAAGAGCCUGGGU
This 56-nucleotide microRNA precursor is filed under the name Paramuricea clavata. The record is from RNAcentral. Lineage: Eukaryota; Metazoa; Cnidaria; Anthozoa; Malacalcyonacea; Plexauridae.